RNAcentral lists this non-coding RNA (31 nucleotides) under Mus musculus (house mouse). The record is from RNAcentral. Lineage: Eukaryota; Metazoa; Chordata; Mammalia; Rodentia; Muridae.
UAUGCACAGAUAGUCUGAUCUCCAGUCGAGC